This 254-nucleotide ribosomal RNA is filed under the name uncultured bacterium. RNAcentral's name for it is "partial 16S ribosomal RNA". It matches the Rfam family "Bacterial small subunit ribosomal RNA", at positions 524 to 776 of the family's 1533-position model. The record is from RNAcentral.
UACGUAGGGGCCUAGCGUUGUCCGGAAUUAUUGGGCGUAAAGAGCUCGUAGGUGGUUCGGCAAGUCGGAUGUGAAAUCUCCACGCUUAACGUGGAGGGGCCAUUCGAAACUGCUGUGACUUGAGUCCGGUAGGGGAGUGUGGAAUUCCUGGUGUAGCGGUGAAAUGCGCAGAUAUCAGGAGGAACACCGGUGGCGAAGGCGGGUCUCUGGGCCGAUACUGACGCUGAGGAGCGAAAGCGUGGGGAGCGAACAGG